RNAcentral lists this transfer RNA (73 nucleotides) under marine sediment metagenome. Its description in RNAcentral is "tRNA-Cys". It matches the Rfam family "tRNA". From Rfam's summary of the family: Transfer RNA (tRNA) molecules are approximately 80 nucleotides in length. Their secondary structure includes four short double-helical elements and three loops (D, anti-codon, and T loops). The record is from RNAcentral.
GACGAGAUGCCUGAGUGGUCUAAAGGGGGCGGUUGCAACCCGCUUAUCGGGGAUUCGAAUUCCUCUCUCGUCU